This is a non-coding RNA of Scleropages formosus (Asian bonytongue), 45 nucleotides long. The record is from Rfam. NCBI's taxonomy places the organism in Eukaryota, Metazoa, Chordata, Actinopteri, Osteoglossiformes, Osteoglossidae.
UUAUAGGCCUUAUUCAAGUCCACCCAAUUUUAAAAAAAAUAGCUC